This 2431-nucleotide long non-coding RNA is filed under the name Malus domestica (apple). RNAcentral's name for it is "long non-coding RNA (MDOM_LNC009848)". The record is from RNAcentral. Lineage: Eukaryota; Viridiplantae; Streptophyta; Magnoliopsida; Rosales; Rosaceae.
CACGUAUUUGUAUAAUAUAUUAUGUACAAUUCAUGACAGCUCCCACCUGCUAUGCAUGGCAUAUAUAUUAUUCUUAUUCCUGCAAAGAUUUCAAAGUCUUCUUCUUUAACGUUUGAGUCUUUUCACUAGAAACUCAACGGAAAAUAAAAUAACAAACCAAAGACUUCAGGAGUUAUUUCGGAUUAUAGACACGAACUUAAGAAAUUAAAUAAUUUGCCAUUUUAUUUCCUAAAUACAUAAUUUGUAUCCCAAGAAAGGGUGGACCUAUGACACUACUAUUUUCACCCAAUUAUGGACACAAGUUUUUGUGGGGCACACUCCGUAAUGUAUUUUAACAAUCCGAACUGUUUAUCUUUUAGAUCAUUUAUAAAUUAUUUUUACAAAAAACUAAACAAGUCCAAAACCAUUAAGACAUUCAUUUCUAACUUGAUGAUAAAGAUAAUGGUACUUAUCGGGAGAAAAGGUUAUAGCUCAAAUCAAGAAUCUCAAUGCGACUCAAGAACAAGAACAUGCCAGCUUCAAGAGAACCAAAAAGCAGAUUGUGGGAGAGAUUGAAGUGUGAUAGGAUUUUUACCACAUGCAAAAGUAAUGAUAAAAACAUUUAAAAAUAGGAAAACUAAUUAAAAUGGCUUGAAAACUUUGAGUUUUAACGACAAGGACAAAAUAAAGAGUAAAGUGAAUAGUACUAGGAUUGACUUUUUAGUGUAAAAAUGUGGUUUUUCGUUAAAGUGAACAGUACCGCGAGCUUUUCUUUAAAACUCCCUUUAAAAAUACUUACAAGAGAACAAGGUGGUUGUAGUAAAAACACUCAAGUAAGGUUGUUCUCUACAAUGAUUGAUAUAAAUAGUUUGUAUUUAAACUAAUUCUUAAUUAAUUAUUUAAACAAGUUUUGGAAAAUAUUUGAAAUUGUGAAUUAAACUAAACAAACAGAAAAUAAAUAAUUGAAAUUGAUUUUUAAAUGAAAACUGGCAGCAACGAUAAAAUAAAAUAAAAUAGUUUUUGAAAAAAAUUAAAGGUAAAAGGCACUAGGGUUUAGCUAUCACCAUUAACAAUCCUAUGCAAUUCGAUCUACCAAUUAUUUAUGUAUUACACAUACAACUUUGAAGGUUAGGUUUUCCUAAUGCAUAUUCUCCUCAUGAUGUUCAAGUAAGAACAUAUGUCUAACAUGCAACCCGUCUGUGAUAUUCAAAUCAAACAUAAACAUGUAAGAUCAUUAAACUUUAUAAAAACCUUUUGAAAAACUAUGCAACCUGUAAGAGUGUGAUGUCGCCUUAAGUGAAAUUACAAUUAUCAAUCACAAAAAGCCCUAAGCAAUUUCAGGGUGAUGUUCCAACAUAAAUUACAUCAAAUUACUUGUCUAGAUAUCAUAAUGGUAACUAAGCAUUAAAACAUAUGGAUAGUUUUAACAUGGUGAUUAAUAAUUCUAAGUAUACAUGCAUAACAUCAUAAGCAAUUUAAUAAAGACUAUAUAUUCAUUUUCAAAAUAUAAAAAAUAAAGACUAUAUAUUCAUUCUAAGGCUUGUGUGCUCGCCCUUGCAAAAGAAAAUUUGUUAUGCAUAAAUAAUCAUAAGUGCAAAGAAAAUAUUAUUAAGAACAAAAGGAUUGAAAAGACCUAGUAUAGAAGUCUGCAAAUCUCAAAAGCAAAAGAAUAACUUUAAAUUACAAUCCUAAACUAACUAGGCAAUUUGCCCAUCCAAUUAUUCUCCACGUUUCUGGAUCAUUCCAGCUCCAAAUCAAGCCCAUAAAAGUCUUGUCUUAAAUAUCGGGACUUUCUCUACGACUUUGUAGAAGGGCUUAACCACAUAAAACAUCAUCUUCAUGCUCAAAAAUUACAAUUAAGCCUGAAAUGUCAAUCUGUCAGCACUGCACGCUGAGUCUUAAUUAAUUCAUCACGUUCAAAUGCCUUAGAAUAAAUUGAAAAGUUGACACAACCUUCUUAAUAGAUUCACGAACCAACUCCAAUUGAAAUUACUCUUUAUGCCCAAAUGGAUUUGCAUAUCCUAUCUUUACAAUAUAAAAUAAAGCAUCAAAAUCUCAUAAUCACCAAUACAUACCAAGAAUAAGGUAAAAUAUAUAAUAUGAAAUCGACUCAUCCAUGCGGAAAAGAAGCUUAAGGUUUCAAAGUGAUGAAGGGAAAAUACCUCCUCUGAGGCACUUGGAUGGCAACCGCAAUCGGAUGAUCCAACCGUUCUGAUUACAUGUGAUGCCUUCCCAUAGGCAACAAUCAACCGAAGCAGUAGUCCAAUUCAAUGCAGGGGAAAACAGAGUGUAGUGAUGGUGUUACGUUCGAUUAGGCCAUCUCCAACCGACCCGGCCAAAGGGCUAUAAGGCUAAAAUUAGCUUGAAAUGACACGAAAACUGUCUCCAAUCAAGGGCUAGGCCAAAGGGCUUGUGGGCCCCACUAAGCCAAAAAUGGGAAAUCAAGCUAACC